This 281-nucleotide small nuclear RNA is filed under the name Salvator merianae (Argentine black and white tegu). RNAcentral's name for it is "7SK RNA (ENSSMRG00000014971.1)". It matches the Rfam family "7SK RNA". From Rfam's summary of the family: 7SK was discovered as an abundant small nuclear RNA in the mid-70s but a possible function has only recently been suggested. The record is from RNAcentral. Lineage: Eukaryota; Metazoa; Chordata; Lepidosauria; Squamata; Teiidae.
GAACGGAGGGUGAUCUAGCUGCAGNGUCUGUUACCUUGUUGAUUGUCAGUGUUGAUCGGGCUGCCUAGGUGAGCUUCCCUUUCCUCCCUCACCGCUAUACAUGCGUCCUCUUGAAUCUGUGUGCUUGGUGGAAGAGGANAACCANCCCAAAUAGAAGGAGUGCNNCAUUCUUCAGUCAAGAGUAUAUGAUAGCUAUGCGUUACACAUGUGCAAGGUUCAUGCUCACAAGGCUCGUAAGCCUUAAGAACNGGCCACACCCUUCUUAAAUGAGAGCUGGGUUU